GAUCUGCCCACCUUGGCCUCCCAAAGUGUUGGGAUUACAAGCGUGAGCCACCGUGCCCGGCCUGUGGGGCUCUAUCUUAAUUCUGCCUUUAAGGACCUAAUAAAUCACUUUACCUCUAGUUCCUGAGCUAUACAAUUAGUGGGCUGUGUUAUCCGAGCUCUGUGUCACUUAUUUAUGGCUGCUAACAAACCACCCCACAUCUUAGUGGCUUAAAGCAACACUGGUUUAUGAUUUCACAAUCCUGUGGGUUGACUGGGCUGUUGUUAGCGGGUCUCAACAGGUGGGACAGCCAGGGCUGGGCUCAUCUGGGACACCUGGGACUCUCUCACCUGGGUCUUUCAUCCUGGGCUUCUUCCUCUCAUGGUGGCCACAGGUGUUCCGAGGGGAUGAGGUUGGACACUACAAGGCCUGUGAAGGUGUAGGCUCUGAGGCUACAUAACUUCACUUCCACUGCAUUCUCUUGGUCAAAGCAGCAGACAAGGCUGCUCGGACACAAAGAGUGGAGAGACGCCUUCGUUGCUCUUGUCCCAUCUGUGUCCAGUUCAUUCCUACGAAGACAGCCACUCUCUAGGAGAGCCCCGACCAGGAAAGAAGUUAGUUUCAGGUGCAUCCGACUGGGGGAGACACAGAGGAGGCCUCUCAACAAAACAGCAGGAUGCAGCUGGAGAAACUGGUUGUUUUACCAAGGCUUGGACUGGAAAGGGCAUGCUUCCCUUAAAAAAAUCAAGCUUGACUUGCAGAGCCAAUAAAAGCCUGUUGGGAAAACCGGCCUCAUACCUUGUCUACCUAGUCCCUAUACAGGGUUCCUAACCUGUGACUAACUCUGCUUAUUCCUGUGAACCAACCAGUGAUCUCCGGCUGCAGCUCAGAAGAAACAGAAGGGAUGGGUAAUGUAAAAAUCUGGAUCAGCAUUCUAGUUCUGGGCAAUUACCCUGCAAAUCCUGUCAGGUGAUAGGUGUAAAUAGGGUGUGGUACAAGAGCUCAGGAAUGGCCCAACGCGGGCACAAGCUAUAACACAGGUGAGCUGGGGCAUGCUAGCGUGUCCAAGUGGGGCCUGGGAGGGGUAUUGCUGGCUGGAGGUCCCUGGCUUGCAAAGUGACUGAGAAGAAAAAAUCCUACAUCACUGCCAAUAAGCGUUCCCUUUUCUCUGAAGCCUUGCCAGCAUCUGUUAUUUUUUGCCUUUUUAAUAUAGCCAUUCUGGACCUGUCUCUCUAAUUUUCACAAGUGCACUGCAUGGGCUAGCAGCUGCUCAGAAGAAGGCUUUACUAUGCACCUGAUAACCUCAUGCAACAGAAAAGGCAGGGGGGCUCAGUUCACCCACCUGCACAACACUGAGUUAUUUAUUGUGGAGGUUUACUCAACAUUAAAUACUAUAGUGGCUGCUACCAUGCUUCCCAAACUUGAAUGUGGACCAAUCACUCAGAGGUCUUGUUAAAAUGCAGAUUCUGACACAGGAGGUGUAGGCCCUGAGAUUCCGCAGUUCUAGCAAGCUCUCAGGUGACUCCAAUUCAGCCGAUCCACUGACCACACUUUGGAUAGCAAGGCCAAGUGGAUGUCAAGACCAAUGAAAGUCACAGGUGAACUGGCUGCGAAGGGCCUCUUCCUCUCCGCUGAUCACUGAAAUCUCCUCUCCAUCUUUCUUCCCUUACAAACCUCAAGCAGAACCCUCCCUGCCCCGCAAAAGGACCUCACCAAAACAAGUCCCCAAUGUCCUUAUCAAGAAAGGGGUAAAGAAAGUGAUACAGCAUCCUGUUUGUAGAUCCUGAAUUCUUCUUUUAACCGGCUUUAUCUCCUCCCCAGGAAAAAGAGGCUCUUAGCCCUGGGCUUUCACUGGGGGUUGGGGCAGAAUUAUUAUUUCCUAACCAGUCAGUGCCGUGCCAUGACAUGGGCUUUAUUUCUGAGCUCUCUCCAGGUUUUCCUAGCCAUUCUAUGAGACAGCUAUUAGCUCUGUAUUAUAGAUGGGGAAAACUGAGGCCUGAAGAAAUUUCAUAUCUUUUCCAAGAACAUAGACCCAGAAAGUAAACCUGUAAGGAAUUCAAUCUAGGGUUGAUUCCAAAUUCUGUACCGGAGCUGAUCUGGUUUCUAAAUUUCAAGGAACUUAAUUUUUUUCUGCCAAUAAAGAGGUUUUCCAAUUGGCAACCUUUUAAAUCAGAUUCUGCAGUACCUGAUGUAGAAGUGACAUUGAAGGCAUGGGGGUAUUACAGUAGACAUUGCUUUAUUUGUUUAAACAGAAUUCUAUUACUGAAGAGCCAUAUGAAUGUCUCUUGGAGUUUCUACUAAUGUGACAUUUUCUCUGCUUCCUCAUGAGAGUUGACUUUGAUGACUGGUUACUUAUUUUAUUUUAUUUUUUUUGAGAUGGAGUCUUGCUCUAUC
Molecule: long non-coding RNA, 2373 nt
Filed under: Homo sapiens (human)
Lineage: Eukaryota; Metazoa; Chordata; Mammalia; Primates; Hominidae
Description: HSALNT0315059
Rfam family: mir-544 microRNA precursor family (bases 1409-1508)
Source: RNAcentral